RNAcentral lists this long non-coding RNA (1032 nucleotides) under Calidris pygmaea (Spoon-billed sandpiper). RNAcentral's name for it is "lncRNA (ENSCPGG00000008346.1)". The record is from RNAcentral. Lineage: Eukaryota; Metazoa; Chordata; Aves; Charadriiformes; Scolopacidae.
AUAUAUUAGAAGGUGAAGUAAAUCAACAAGAGAAGCAAGCUGAGCUCAUGGAUAUUCAGAUCAUAGUAAAUAUCUGAAAGUAAAGACAUUUUUCCACAGUAAAGAGUUUAUCUACAGGCACCUGUGCCAUUUGGCACCUGCUGGGCUUGAUUUGGGGUAUUUCAGAUAUUAAGUGCUUAACAGAUAAAGCUCAAGGGGACAGAUUAGUUAAUUGCACCCUACUCAUCCCCAUUUUUCUUGUGGCUCCCAGCAGCAGGAGCAGAGUUUACUGCAGGUUCUGUUCCCAUCUAUUCUGGAGCUAAAGCCAUAAAAACAAAUGGAGGAUGAUUAUACCACGCACUUGCAAGCACCAAGGAAUGGUGCGGAUGCAAGAAGCAGAAGAAAAACUUGCUCAUUUAGUGUUUUCCUGAUUGCCUGCCAGAUCCACAUCUGCUCUUCAGCCAACGCAGUGCAAUACUGCUAGCUGGCUAUUAGAUGAGAAGAAUUCAAAUAAUUUUUGUCACGUGGAGGAAGAGGGAGCAGAGACCCACCCUGACGGCCUUACUGAUCUGAAAACUGAUGCUCAUGUCCAUCGACUGCUAUGUAAAAGAGGUGGUAGCCCUGCCAGAGAUGCCAGAAGUCUCCAAACCUUUGAUGGGACGGUUAAAUCCCGGGUUUCCUCUGCGCUGUGCCAUCAGGCUGCUCAGAUGACACCAGAGCUCCAGCCAGCAGCUCUGGGAUGAAUAAACUCCUGGAGUCCAAACUCUCUAAGUGUUGUACGAACCCUUUAUCCGUGUCAGGGUGUGAGUCAGUCACAAACCCCGAGCAUCACUUGCAAAUCCAGGUGGUAGGACUGUAGUGUCCAGACCUAGGGCGCUGGGCUUUGUAUGGCAGAUGAUGCUGCAACACCAUCUGGCAGACAGGGACGGAGGAAGAGAUAAAGCAGGAAUAUUUUUGCCCCUCCUCUGGGCUGUGCACGGACACACUGCGCACCUCUGACACCACACCGAGCUACCCAGAAAAACUCAGCCUGGAAAUCUUCCCCACACGGCA